Molecule: transfer RNA, 76 nt
Filed under: Pseudomonas aeruginosa
Lineage: Bacteria; Pseudomonadati; Pseudomonadota; Gammaproteobacteria; Pseudomonadales; Pseudomonadaceae
Description: tRNA-Ala
Rfam family: tRNA
About the family: Transfer RNA (tRNA) molecules are approximately 80 nucleotides in length.
Source: RNAcentral
GGGGCUAUAGCUCAGCUGGGAGAGCGCUUGCAUGGCAUGCAAGAGGGCGACGGUUCGAUCCCGUCUAGCUCCACCA